CAACUACUCCCACCAUCCCAAAAUUCUUGUCUUAGAUUUGUCUAGAUACGGAUAUGUAUGAUACAUCCGUAUCUAGACAAAUCUAAGACAAGAAUUUUGGGAUAGAGGGAGUACUUU
This is a non-coding RNA of Triticum aestivum (bread wheat), 117 nucleotides long. The record is from Rfam. NCBI's taxonomy places the organism in Eukaryota, Viridiplantae, Streptophyta, Magnoliopsida, Poales, Poaceae.